UACGUAGGGUGCAAGCGUUGUCCGGAAUUAUUGGGCGUAAAGGGCUCGUAGGCGGUCCAUCGCGUCGGGAGUGAAAAGCUGGGGCUUAACCCCAGUCCUGCUUCCGAUACGGGUGGACUAGAGGUAGGCGGGAGAACGGAAUUCCUGGUGUAGCGGUGAAAUGCGCAGAUAUCAGGAGGAACACCGGUGGCGAAGGCGGAUCUCUGGGCCAUUACUGACGCUGAGGAGCGAAAGCGUGGGGAGCGAACAGG
RNAcentral lists this ribosomal RNA (251 nucleotides) under uncultured bacterium. Its description in RNAcentral is "partial 16S ribosomal RNA". It matches the Rfam family "Bacterial small subunit ribosomal RNA", at positions 524 to 776 of the family's 1533-position model. The record is from RNAcentral.